This 474-nucleotide ribosomal RNA is filed under the name uncultured organism. RNAcentral's name for it is "partial 16S ribosomal RNA". It matches the Rfam family "Bacterial small subunit ribosomal RNA", at positions 334 to 799 of the family's 1533-position model. The record is from RNAcentral.
CACUCCUACGGGAGGCAGCAGUGGGGAAUUUUGGACAAUGGGCGAAAGCCUGAUCCAGCAAUGCCGCGUGUGUGAAGAAGGCCUUCGGGUUGUAAAGCACUUUUGUCCGGAAAGAAAUCCUUGGCUCUAAUACAGUCGGGGGAUGACGGUACCGGAAGAAUAAGCACCGGCUAACUACGUGCCAGCAGCCGCGGUAAUACGUAGGGUGCGAGCGUUAAUCGGAAUUACUGGGCGUAAAGCGUGCGCAGGCGGUUUGCUAAGACCGAUGUGAAAUCCCCGGGCUCAACCUGGGAACUGCAUUGGUGACUGGCAGGCUAGAGUAUGGCAGAGGGGGGUAGAAUUCCACGUGUAGCAGUGAAAUGCGUAGAGAUGUGGAGGAAUACCGAUGGCGAAGGCAGCCCCCUGGGCCAAUACUGACGCUCAUGCACGAAAGCGUGGGGAGCAAACAGGAUUAGAAACCCGGGUAGUCCCAUG